RNAcentral lists this ribosomal RNA (460 nucleotides) under uncultured bacterium. Its description in RNAcentral is "partial 16S ribosomal RNA". It matches the Rfam family "Bacterial small subunit ribosomal RNA", at positions 338 to 795 of the family's 1533-position model. The record is from RNAcentral.
CCUACGGGAGGCUGCAGUGAGGAAUAUUGGUCAAUGGACGAGAGUCUGAACCAGCCAAGUAGCGUGAAGGAUGACUGCCCUAUGGGUUGUAAACUUCUUUUAUAUGGGAAUAAAACGUUCCACGUGUGGGAUUUUGUAUGUAUCAUAUGAAUAAGGAUCGGCUAACUCUGUGCCAGCAGCCGCGGUAAUACGGAGGAUCCGAGCGUUAUCCGGAUUUAUUGGGUUUAAAGGGAGCGUAGGUGGAUUGUUAAGUCAGUUGUGAAAGUUUGCGGCUCAACCGUAAAAUUGCAGUUGAAACUGGCAGUCUUGAGUACAGUAGAGGUGGGCGGAAUUCGUGGUGUAGCGGUGAAAUGCUUAGAUAUCACGAAGAACUCCGAUUGCGAAGGCAGUUCACUGGACUGCAACUGACACUGAGGCUCGAAAGUGUGGGUAUCAAACAGGAUUAGAUACCCUAGUAGUC